UUGAGAAUUUGGUGAGACCACCUGCCUUUUUCACAUCUCCCUGCCCUCCAGCUGUCAGAAAGCUGCAUCCUCCACCAGCAUCUGGGGAAUUCCGACAGGUGGAUCUGAGGUCACAGCAGGACAUCUAAUGGAUAAACCUAGCAGGUUGUGGAGGCCUGGACUGGAACUCAGGAAAGAGGGCAAAGAGUGCAGAAGGGAUGAUAUGCCAGUUCCGCCAGCUUCCACUUGUGUAAUUUUGGAAGCUCUAAGCAACUGUGUAAGAAGUUCAGCCACCCAGCUGGAGAGGACAUGUGGAGCAAAGGGGCCCUGAGACUACAUGGAGAAAGAGGCCAAGCCUUUCCAGUGCCCUACUUGAGUCUUCAUAUGACUACAGUUCCAGCUGCCAUCUGACUACAACCUCAUGAGAGACCCCAAGUGAGACCAGCAGAAUUGCCCAGCUGAGCCCAGUCAAUUUGCAAAACUGUGGAAAAUAAUGAUUGUUUUAAGCCACUAAAUUUUGGCGUGUUUGUUAUGCUGCAAUAAGUAACUAAAAUAUCACUCUGUAUUUUAAUUGCCUACUUUGUUUGCCCUCCUAGGCUAUUUUCUGUGAGAGCAGGGAC
Molecule: long non-coding RNA, 599 nt
Organism: Sapajus apella (tufted capuchin)
Lineage: Eukaryota; Metazoa; Chordata; Mammalia; Primates; Cebidae
Exons: 2
Source: RefSeq, a predicted model, not a curated record